This is a non-coding RNA of Doryrhamphus excisus (bluestripe pipefish), 5930 nucleotides long. NCBI's taxonomy places the organism in Eukaryota, Metazoa, Chordata, Actinopteri, Syngnathiformes, Syngnathidae. The record is from RefSeq and is a predicted model, not a curated record.
GUUCUUGCUACAGGCCACAUGGGCAAUACUCAGCGCUCAUAUCCUCAUCAAGUCACUGCAUAUGUGUGGCAGAUGGGCGCCCUCUACAGGCGGGAUACGAGCGCCCUCAUGCUGCUCAAACGUCAUCUGGAUCAAACCAAACUGAGGAGUGAGGGGGCAGUACCUUUUUACAAGGUAAAAGGCAAAUUACAACAGUAGUUGCUCAAAAAUAAAAUAUAUUUGAUUGUUAAUAUUAUAUUUGAUCAAUUACAUCCAAGAACAUGUUAUUUCAUUAGCAGGGAGUGGGGGUGUCACAGCUUCAGUCUGUCCCGGGCAUCAUUCAAGCUAGGACUAAUUUGAGAUUUGAGAAACUUUAGCAGUGACUGUGCUUAAUGAUGGUUGUGAUGCAAACUGCUAAUGCUAUAGCUCAUUAACUUGAAUGUAAGUGAAGUUAAUUCAUUAUUUUUUAAAAAUUCUAUUGAUAUUCAAAUAAAAUACUUAAGUCCAAUAUUGUCUAACUCUCAAUUUUCAAUACCGAUAUCGAUAUGGGUAACAUAAUAAUAAUAAUAAUUGAUCAUUUCUUAUAGCCAGCAUAUCUAGAAAAUUGAUGUAUGGAAGGAGUAAGCCAACUUCUAGCAAACCUCAUUCGUUUACAUGCUUGAGAGGCGGUUUGAUGAGGUCAUCUUUUACACGUCGCAUCGGUGUGAUUCCCAGUCUGCCCACUGAUAUGAAGUUGGCAGCUCCUCGUCUAAGUUGAAUGUCAAGCAAAGAAGUGGAGAUGCCGUACCUUAUAUUAUCAUGGGGGAACUUGAAUUCACUACCAAAAAAGAUCGACGAGUUGGCAAGAACGUCAAGACCUUCAAAUUUGUGCUUCACUGAAUGGCUAUAAACGAGCAUCCCAGAGGCUAACGUGAGAAGCUAGCUAGCUGUCUUCAGUACAGUCAGAAUGGCCAGGACCACAAGAGCUUGUGGAAAGCACAAAGUAGGUGGGCUUGCAAUGUAGGUGAACACACUGUGAUGUCAUCUUGGCCAUGCCAUCAUUAAAAUGUUCAUUUAUAUAGCGUUUUUAUAAUAUGGGAUUUCAUUUUGGGGGCAAAAAAUCUGACACCAAUGUCUCCCAAUAUCAUAUUUUUAUGCUGAUAACUGGUCAAUAUUAUCAGUGGCCUGAUUUCAUCGGCCAUCCCUAAUUUUAACACAUUUUUCUCUCCUCUUUUGUCAUGUUCUUCAUGGAACCGAGUUACAAAUGGUGCAGAUCCAUCUGUCCUCAGUGGCUAAUCAGCAUGCAAAACUCUUCAUUGGAGGUGAUGGAACAACUAACGUCAGAGAUGAGGAUGAGGAAGAAGAAGUGCCACAGCAUCCCUGAGAACAUUGGGUUUUCAGGUAGUUGACUUCCUCCUCCAAGCCGUUCACUCUGUACAAGAGAGACUUGAAAGUCUCAGAUUCCUCGCAGUCACAUUUGGUUUGCAACUGGAUCCCCCUGGAAUGUCGAUGUUAUAGACAUGGCUGAAGCUUGAAGUGACACAUUCCGUUUAUCACAUCACUGUGCACACUACCUUGGUAUGAAGUUUGUGAUGAAGGACUGGGUUCGACAGCCAAGGAUGUCUAAGGGCUUCAGAUGCUCCCAUCCUCCAACUGAAGAGCCUCUCCUUCAGGUCAAACUGAAACUCAACCCCAUCUGCCCGGAAGACAGCCCAGUCCUCCUGCUCCUGCUCAUCCUCAUCCUCUUCCUUUCCCUCCUUCUUCCCUUCUUCCUCCUUGUCUUCCUGGACCUUUUGAGCUUCCUCCACCACCACAGGUUCCUCAGCGAUGCCGAGCUCCACUGUCUGGUGCAGGUCAGCUUCUGAAGUUGGCGAGGCCACUUCGCAGUUGCCACUAUCAGUACAAAAGAAGCUCUGAGCUCUCUGUUGCAUCUUCAGCUGUCGACUCUUCCUCUUCUUCUACGAGGUGGACUUCUUCCUCUACAUCUUCAACAUCUAGUGUGAGCUCUUCCUCAGCAACAUCUCCAACUGGAAUCUUGUCCUCAUCCAUUUCUGCACCGACCGCCUCCUGUUGGGAUGCCACUACGAGGUCCUGUACACCAUCACCUCGUUGCUCUUGAGAAGGAACGCCAGCUUCCAGAUUCAAAUAUACAUCGGUGAGCUGGUCACGUGCUGUUCAGAGGGAGAUGCCCAUGCUGCACUAUUAUUAUAUCGGUAUGGUAUCCAUAUGCUAGCAAGGAUGCUACGUGGGACUUUUGAGGUCAAUGACAGAAUGCAGGAGGUCACAUGGGAAGAGCUUAGUCACAUAGUGGUGGAUCUGCUGUGGUAAAUGUCAAUGUGGAUUUCCUAAAUGUCAAGAGGAAUGGAAACAAGAGAGGGCAAGGAGGACGUCGGCUUGUCUGAGGUGGGCACACUCUGACACCAUUCAUGAAAACUCCAGGAUGUGUGUAUUUAAUUAACUGUGUCCAUAUGGCAUUCAAACUAUUUUGCACCUCUUUCUAUGUGAAAGAUAGUUGACCAGAAGGUACGGUAUUGAGUUACACGCUGCAACACACCAGCAAUAUGAGUCAAUACAUAGCGGUAGUGUAGAAUCACUUGCUCUUAAACACCCCGUUAGCCCUGUUAUUACGUUUUAGUCAUGAUUUUGUUGUCAUUUAGUCGUCACUAUGUAUAACACAUCACAGGGAAUACACAAAAGCUUCUACACUGAAAAACAAUCACAUCUGCAUGUGUUGGCCUUCCUCCGCCUCCCCACCGGCUCUUGGGGACUGCUACUCCUGUACCCAAUGCUUAUCUGGUCUAUCCAGCACUGCACAAACAGGCAAUGGAAAACACGCUCUCAUCAUUGGUUGCUGCAUUUCACCCCUCUUUCCCUACCCAUUCCGAAUCUCAGUAAAUGUUCAUAAACCAUUGCUAUUUCUAUCACUUAUAUUUUCAUUCCUCUUUGUCUGUCCCCUCUUAAACCAUGUACUCAUCAGUGGCAAAAUAAACAUACAGACCGCCAAUACUGUAUGACUAAGAUACCUAAUGCUUAUUAAAAUACUUCUAAAUCUCUAAAUUUCAACCCUAAAUUACUUUGUCUUCAUCACCUAAUUCAGGUUAUUAUUGUAUAAUUGUAUUACAAAAUAUUUCACUAUACAUUUUUUUUUUGCUGACUGGUAGGAUGAAAUAAUACUUCAAUUGACUAGUUUAAGUUAAUAAAAUUUGUGUGCCGGACCAAAUUAGAUGGCUAAUAUGUGAAAACCAUUAACAGCACAGCUACUGGUGUAACUAUUGCUUUCCACCCCUCAUACCCUUCACCCCUUCCACUACUCCAUAGGAAACUAAAUAGCAAGUCAACGAAAGUUCAAUGGCACACACUAUCACAAAGCUAAAUUUGAAUGAUUUUACAUAUUUGAAGGAUUUUCAAAAAUGUAAAACAAUAAUUACAUAGCGUAUCUCCGCUAGUAAACUGUUUAAGUACUUUUUUUCCAACAUUAUUGACUCGUCCACUGUGUGCAAAUGUCUGUGUGUACCUGUGAGGCUUCAGGUGUUGGUAAUGAUGCUCUGCGACUCCUCCAAAAACUGAGUAAAUCCCAAAGCCGUUGCCAGAUGUAGGAUGUAAACAAACACAUGUUGUGGACUAGCCAAGUGUCCCAAAUGGUCGUAAUGUUCGCCAAUACUCUGACAUUUCCCUUCAUCAUUCCUCUAACGGCCUCACUUUGCAGCAACAACUUCAAGUGACGCCUUUCAGAGGACGACAGCAAACUUCAUGUGCAAGGGACGCCCAAAUUAUUAAUACUCCUCUAUCAUGCAAUAGAGCCUGUCUGUUAAUUCAACCGCUCCUAUCAGCACUUAGAGUCGAAUGACGGCCGGUUUGUCCCUGUGACAAAAGAGUGACAGGUGCCAGGGAAGAGUGUGUGACAUGAUAAACUCACUCAGUAAGCCUCCCCAUCUUCACUCGAAAGCCCUUUGACUUGGUGACGUAUGUGAUGACGUAUGUGAUGACAUAAUAUGUUGACGUAACGUUUCACUAGUCUACGAGUGUAGCUGUCCAUACAAUUUUCUCCGUAUUUUUGCUUAUUUACUGUUGAUAGUUGUUUUCUUCCCAUUAUUAUGUAGUUUACAACCGCACUGUUGCCAAAUUAUUUCAUUUUCUGCUGUUGUGUGCGUUCCUGCUCUCUUUUUCUAUAUGUAUCCAAUGUUUACUGACUUCCCAAUUGAACUAACAAGUGAUUGUAAGUGAAACAUUUAUUUGCCACUAUGGAGGCGAGGAUUAGAUGAUGUAAAGUGUUUAACCAAGUGUGCAGCCAACAAGCUUCCAUAGCUCCAUAUUUAAAAGCAGACUUUUAAAAUGAAAAAGACUACCACAGACACUGAUACCAUUAUGGCUACAGGACAUGUAAAUAGUCAGCAAAUUGUUUUCUUUGUUGAUAGUACACCUGAACUGCUCAUAACUAGUGAUGUGCGGAUCAAUGCUGAAAUAUUGAUAAUAUUUCCAACACCAGCUCUUCAUACGCUAACAUCGAUACUCAAAUUCAAAUAGUAUAUUUAGCUAUAGCUAUUUCAGGCAUUUGAGGUUUGUUGACACGAUGUAGUAGUCCUUAAAGGGAUAAAUGGGAUUGUUGGACAUGAGGUUGACACCCCCAUAAACAGUGAAGUCCGUCAACAGCGACUCACUCCCACUUUGUGUCCUGAGCCGAGUUCUGGUCAGAUUUCUGGGGAAAGUAGUUCCAUCUAGUUGCUGGGGACAGUUAAGUAAAGAGCUUGGCUUCUCAAAACAAUAUGCGUUCAAAAGCAUAAUACAUUUGUAUCACAAAAAUGCCUACUCGAAAAAAUCUGACUUCAUAAAUCGCUCUGCGUUAUUUUCUCUGCUGUCGUAUGACUUUGCACUUUCGCAAAUAUUGGAUAAAUAAAGUUGAUCUUAAACAUAGCUCUCAUCAUUGACUAUCACAACUAUACUGUUAUUGAUGAUAUUGAAAUCCUCUCAUUCCAUGCCUCUUUUGAAGUGCACUAAUUGACAUAAUCUCUGUCUCAAGGAGAAAUUGUGAUUGAGGGAUCAAGACUUUUUGUCCAUGCACACACUGGUGGAAAUAAAUAGCCCAAGCUAUCACUGUAUGACCACAGUGCCAAAUGUAACAGACAAAACACAUGCAAGAUUAUUAUGCAAGACAGAGUUUAAUGUGAACAUAUAUAGUAUGUUUGCAAACAUAUUGCAGCAUCCUAUGUUUAUGCAAUGCUGCAUCAAACAUAUUUAAGUUUUCUCUCCAUUGGGUUGCGCGUAUUUCUACAUUGCUGUGGUUAUUAGGCAUGUCUUGUUUAUAUUAUAACUUGCUUACACAUAAACCUGUUGUCAUUAACGGUCAAAUGGAUCUUCCAGUGACAUAAAUGGUACUUCGUGUCAAGAACAAAAACAAACCCAGUAAAGCCAGCAGUGCUGUUCUUUAAAUUUGGCUUUAUAGCCCCCUCUACUGGUGCUACUGAUUACCUUGACUUAAUCGUGCGUAAUUGCUCUCCACUCUAAGUACUGUAUUUAAAGAAUGCAUGGACUGCAUGGAUACCUCUAGUUCCAACUUCAUCUCCCAGAAGGAACGCAUAGUUUUCACUUUCUUUAAGUCAGGGAAGAAGGCCGGCCGGGUCAUGUUUCUGCUGUUGGCACCCUGAGGAACUGAUUUAAACUUGGCCAUUCUCCACUUGGCUUGGCUCUUCUUGUCUUCCCACCCUGGUGUUUAAUCUGAGCAGAAACAUAGGCAAGGAUUGUUGCACAUAGAAGGAAAAUCGCACCAUACGAUCACCAUUUGGAUUGAUUUUGUAGCUGCAAUGUGCUAUCGCUAUGCUUUUUUACCACACACUCAACCUCUGGCAUACUAAUUAACAACACAAAAUGUAGUAUUAUUGUUUCAUCUAUGUUUAAAGCUAUACAAUAAGAUUUUUCAUGAAACGAUUUUAACAAAGGCUGUAUAGGUUUACUUUCAAGCGCUGUAUCUGGGUGUU